AACAGGAUUAGAUACCCUGGUAGUCCACGCCGUAAACGUUGGGCGCUAGGUGUGGGGGUCCUUCCACGACCUCCGUGCCGCAGCUAACGCAUUAAGCGCCCCGCCUGGGGAGUACGGCCGCAAGGCUAAAACUCAAAGGAAUUGACGGGGGCCCGCACAAGCGGCGGAGCAUGCGGAUUAAUUCGAUGCAACGCGAAGAACCUUACCAAGGCUUGACAUGCACAGGAAAGUUCCAGAGAUGGUUCCCCCGCAAGGUCUGUGCACAGGUGGUGCAUGGUUGUCGUCAGCUCGUGUCGUGAGAUGUUGGGUUAAGUCCCGCAACGAGCGCAACCCUUGUCUUAUGUUGCCAGCGCGUUAUGGCGGGGACUCAUAAGAGACUGCCGGGGUCAACUCGGAGGAAGGUGGGGAUGACGUCAAAUCAUCAUGCCCCUUAUGUCUUGGGCUUCACGCAUGCUACAAUGGCCGGUACAAAGGGCUGCGAAACCGCAAGGUGGAGCGAAUCCCAAAAAGCCGGUCUCAGUUCGGAUUGGGGUCUGCAACUCGACCCCAUGAAGUCGGAGUCGCUAGUAAUCGCAGAUCAGCAACGCUGCGGUGAAUACGUUCCCGGGCCUUGUACACACCGCCCGUCACGUCACGAAAGUCGGUAACACCCGAAGCCGGUGGCCCAACCCUUGUGGAGGGAGCCGUCGAAGGUGGGAUCGGCGAUUGGGACGAAGUCGUAACAAGGUAACC
This 732-nucleotide ribosomal RNA is filed under the name uncultured bacterium. RNAcentral's name for it is "bacterial SSU rRNA". It matches the Rfam family "Bacterial small subunit ribosomal RNA", at positions 771 to 1501 of the family's 1533-position model. The record is from RNAcentral.